Molecule: non-coding RNA, 1184 nt
Organism: Paramuricea clavata
Lineage: Eukaryota; Metazoa; Cnidaria; Anthozoa; Malacalcyonacea; Plexauridae
Source: the annotation of a GenBank genome assembly
CAGAUAUUGGCUGCUCCUUCAAUCCUACGCUAUCCUACUAGUGUACAUCAACAGCGCCUCGAACCCAGUCCUUUAUGCGUUCAUGGGCAACCGCUUCAAGGACGGCUUCAAGAGAUUGCUAUGCUGUCGAAAGUUUCCGAAGUUUAACCGAGCAUUCACGAGAAACAAUCGGCAGUCGGUCACAACGAAAGAGUUUGGGAUGAGCGAACGAAGCUCGUAGAAAAAUAAGAUGUAUAGCUUUAUAGCAUUGAUACCCGUUUACAGCAAAAGUGUCUUGCUAGCCCAGACUGCCAUUAAAGCAAGUUUACACCGGGCAAUCUGUGAGAUCUUCUUAUAGUAGUAUGAGAUGUGCUUGAACAGUUGAGCGCUUAAUUGGAAGACAAUAUAGGUUACCAUCAUGAUAUGAGCGGAGAAUAUAGCUUACUAUGACUUGAGCAGCCACUUAGGCAACCGUACACUUCUACUGGUUUCAUUUUUAAAAGCGUCUACAUUGUAUACCCAGGGAUGAAUUUUCCGGGGGUUGUUGCGUGGUGCGAAUCUUUUCGCUAGCUUGGGGGGUGGCGAUUACCUUAUCAAGUUCAUUUUUUUAUUUGAAAAGCCAUUGAUUAUGAAAACGAAGAGACAAACAUGAGAUAGGAACAUGAUUGUUAAACUGUCAGGGUAUACUGCAGAAUAGCGCGUUGUUGCUGUAGCUCCUCCUCAACUUGGUCAACGACCGCAUCCUAAACUAUGGCCAAAGAUGGAUGAGCACAAAGAUGGAUGAGCUUUACCGACCAACAACAUUUUGCCGAUCAUUUCCAAUCAAUUUACCAACAAGUCACUUUUUACCCCACAUCAUCUCCGUUUUACCGACGAGUUUUCUAAAAAGUUGGGGUGGGUCGCACAUCCUCCGCCCCCCCCCCCCCCCCCCACACACACACACCGCUCGGUACGCCCCUAGAAUGAAUACAGUGUCUCUCCUACUGUCCACUUAUCAGUGUUUCUCCAACUGCAAACUAAGUCAGCCAUAUUAUAUUAUCUAUUUUGCUAAUGUCAUGCAUAAAACGUACAGGCAAUCCGUUGAAGGUUAUUUUAACAAUAACCAUAUAUAUUAAAAGUUUAUAAUUAGUUUAAGAAAUAUAGAAUACAAUUAUAUAUUGCUUUUAUUAUACGAAAUAAAAUAUACUGAUAUAUUUAAACAAAAG